UAUUGUAACAGAGUGUCCAGUACUGGGUAAGACCACUGAUAUUUCCAGGACCAGCAAGGAGACAAUUUCCUGGUCAGUUCAAGAUUGAUCUUUCUGUGUCCUGCAGCCAAAGUUGGCAGUGUCUUCGGUAAUAGGGUCCUAACAUUUAGUUAUGGUGGGGAAGCAAGGCCUGUCUCAUUUUGAAUGCCUCCAGGACCACCCUAAAGAAGAAGGUGUCUGAGAAGCCUCCCUCAAUGCUUUACCAAAGUCAAGCAUGCGUGCCCCUCCCCCUGCCACAUCCCCGGAGCUGUGAAUAGGAAGUUUAUCCUGGAGGCUUGGUGCUCUGAGCAAACAUGGAUCAGUAGAUGAUGAGACUGCUCUGGAUGGAGGUGAAGCCUGCUCAGGACUUUGCCUUGCUGUCUCUCCUCCUUCAUGGUCUUUUUCCCACCAACACAAGCCUCCCCAUAACUGAGCUCUCUGUAAACAUCCAGUCACCCAAUGUGAUCUCCAUACCCUUGACCUUAUGGAGCUCCUCCAGUAGGUAGCCAGCCUCCUCCUGGAUCCGCUCCUCAAUGCUCCGCUUCCCCAUCCCAAAGUUUCGAAGGACGGUCAGGGAAAAACGCCGAAGAAUCUUCCAUCGUUCUCCAUUGGACAGAGCUAAACCUGCCAGGAGAAGUGAUGAGUUUCUGUGUGACCUCAGCUGUGCCAUCUGUGACCUUCAUCACUAUAAGAAGAAAUGAGCACACUAACCUUCUGGAAGGACUGAAAUGUGGCAUCAGUGCGGACUUGUAAGAAGUUUCCCAAAAACGGUAUUGGUGUGGGGCCGGGGGGCAGCUUUCCUCCCUUACUGGUCCUCUUCCAAGCAAUCAGGAUGAGCAGGCAAGACAAACAAAGUGCCAUAAAGAUGCUGAAGGCUCCUCCCAGCAUCAUGGUGCUAAGUUGAGGGCUUGUGCCUUGGGAUCCAGAGCUUGCCUAAAUAGCUUCUAGGAGAUCAGCUUAUAUUGAAAUGUGAAUCCUGUGGGAGUCAAAUUAUCCCACCAGUAUUAUGCCAUCAAUAAACAAAUUGCUUGGUAGGUGUGGAGUUACGUAAUAUCUCACCUGCGCAGAGGUAUAUUGAUUUCAUGCAGGAAAACCCUAUCUCCUUUCUUCAUAGUUCAACUUUCCCACCUGCCCCUCAGCUUCAUAGUCUUUGUGGCAUCUGUUUAUAGGUUAUCUUCAUAAAGUAUAGACUUUCUGAUAUUAUCCUGCUGUGUGAACUUUCCUCUCUUAGACUUUUGUUUUUUGCCUUAGGAGGAAUGCCUCCACCUGCCCAAAGAAUGCCAGGGGUAAGAUGUUUCAUUCUUGAGUUUAGCAAGUCCAAGGACAUUAUGCAAACAGCACCCACUCAGCCCUGAGACUUCUCUCUUUCUGAACAGCUUUGAUAAAAGUGGUGAGGAUUACUUUGUGUAUUUGUCAUUUUUACUCUGUUCCAGCUUUGAACCCUUAGCUCUCUUGGAGUAAAGCAUCAGAGAACCUAGGUGGACUCUGAACUGGUAAUUGUCUGAAGUCCUCUGGUUCUGUUGAAUCUCUAUUUCAACUUCAAUUCCUUGGUACUGCUCAUUAGAUCAUUGAAAAACCACCAAACAUUGGUGAUUUGUCACACCCACUCCAGAAGUGACUUUGUGAUGGGCCCUAAAGCUUGUAUGCAGUCCCGAGGCAAAAAGUUUCAUGAAAACUUAGUC
Molecule: long non-coding RNA, 1700 nt
Organism: Mus musculus (house mouse)
Lineage: Eukaryota; Metazoa; Chordata; Mammalia; Rodentia; Muridae
Product: predicted gene, 51443
Exons: 3
Source: RefSeq, a predicted model, not a curated record